GAACUUCGUACGAAGUCACUGGUUUUAUAUUCCUUGUAUGAAAUUCUCAGCAGCCUCCUUGGGCAUUUCUUCUCAAAUGCAUGGAUUCUCCUCUCGGUAUUGACAAACUGAGUCCGUAAAGCAGGUUAUGAGCUGUUUUGCUCGCAUGCCUCUGUCAACUGUCGUGUUCGCCACACUGUUUACUGGUUGCUGUGGUGAAGGCCAGAAGCAGACGUACAGUUCACGCGCCCUGAGUCUGCUAGUCGCGGAUUUCACAUUCAGCUGAUUCACCGCCGACAUAAAAUAUAACCGUUUCUUGUGAAUCAUGGGCUUUUCAAUGUCAAAGUCUGAAAAGCCCAAGACAAAUCUUGCUCUUCAUUCACACCAUGUACAACCUGUGGGUAUUUCUUCCAAUCAGCCACAACAGCAACAGCCUCAUCAACAACAACAGCAUCACCAAAACCAGCAACUUCAACAA
This 457-nucleotide long non-coding RNA is filed under the name Pomacea canaliculata. RNAcentral's name for it is "uncharacterized LOC112558196, transcript variant X2". Lineage: Eukaryota; Metazoa; Mollusca; Gastropoda; Architaenioglossa; Ampullariidae. The record is from RNAcentral.